GCCUGGUAGUGGGGGAUAACGUCCGGAAACGGACGCUAAUACCGCAUACGUCCUACGGGAGAAAGCAGGGGACCUUCGGGCCUUGCGCUAUCAGAUGAGCCUAGGUCGGAUUAGCUAGUUGGUGGGGUAAUGGCUCACCAAGGCGACGAUCCGUAACUGGUCUGAGAGGAUGAUCAGUCACACUGGAACUGAGACACGGUCCAGACUCCUACGGGAGGCAGCAGUGGGGAAUAUUGGACAAUGGGCGAAAGCCUGAUCCAGCCAUGCCGCGUGUGUGAAGAAGGUCUUCGGAUUGUAAAGCACUUUAAGUUGGGAGGAAGGGCAGUAAAUUAAUACUUUGCUGUUUUGACGUUACCGACAGAAUAAGCACCGGCUAACUCUGUGCCAGCAGCCGCGGUAAUACAGAGGGUGCAAGCGUUAAUCGGAAUUACUGGGCGUAAAGCGCGCGUAGGUGGUUCGUUAAGUUGGAUGUGAAAUCCCCGGGCUCAACCUGGGAACUGCAUUCAAAACUGACGAGCUAGAGUAUGGUAGAGGGUGGUGGAAUUUCCUGUGUA
RNAcentral lists this ribosomal RNA (554 nucleotides) under uncultured bacterium. RNAcentral's name for it is "bacterial SSU rRNA". It matches the Rfam family "Bacterial small subunit ribosomal RNA", at positions 128 to 677 of the family's 1533-position model. The record is from RNAcentral.